UGCUGGGGGACAUUGUGCAGGCUGCACAGCUCCAGCAGCUGUGUGAAAUCUUCUGACUGCAGGACCAUGGGGAGGUCACCUGGACGUGUCGGAGGCGGGAAAUGGGUCUCGUGAUUCCUAAGACAAGCACUACACCACUGGAGCCAGUCAACAGAUUCCAAGGGGGCUGCAAGGUGACUGCUGAAGAAGGCUCAGAGAACAGACUGAUUCAAAAUGGUAGGUGCCACAUUUUUUCCUGCUUUUAGUUGAUUCAUGGACUGAGUAUGGAGUCCAUGCUUUUUAGGAAAAGCAAUCUGAGGAACACCUACAAUGCUUUUUUAACUGAA
Castor canadensis (American beaver) is the source of this 326-nucleotide non-coding RNA. The record is from RefSeq and is a predicted model, not a curated record. Lineage: Eukaryota; Metazoa; Chordata; Mammalia; Rodentia; Castoridae.